CUGCCGGGAACUUCGCGAGCCUCGCGUGCUUUUGUUCCUGACGUUAUACCUGAGGACCGUGUUGUACCGCUGGCUUACCCCAAACUGAGAAACCAGUCCGCGGUUUGAGAGUGAGGGCUCUGGGGUCCUGCAGGCAUGGAUUCGAAUCCCGAUUUCUUCAGCUGCUAGCUCCGGGACCUCGGACAGAGUUGUGACAGCUGCCUUGUGAUCAUGAAAGUGUGGAGACCAUGGCUGUAGCUCCAGCAACCGUCCUUGUGUGCGAAAGGAAGCAGCGCUGUGCUGCUAGUGUUUUAACAAGUUCUCCGGCGGGAGGGACCCUGAUUUGAAGCAUUUGCCCAUUUCCGUGGUGUAAAUAUGCUCACUGUGGCUGAUAUCAAGCUGCCAACUGGAAGUCACUGAAGAUGGCGUUGGGAAGAGAUGCACACAUGAAGUAGCUGGCUCCAGCCGUGCACUGGUGGCCGUGUGCAACCACAGUAGCAGCCUGGGUCUUUGACACCGUGGAGCCUCCAUAGUAACUCUGAAUUUCCUCCCUCCUGGCUUCCUUCAUGUAAGGGGAAAAUAAACUUCUUGCUUGUUCAAGAACUCUAUUUGGCUUGGCUUGGAACAACAUUGAAAUACAGUCACAUCAUCGGGGAAGAGGCGGUGUGAGGGAGAGAACAUCCUCAUCGACCUUGAUGUUUCAGCUCUCCCAGAAGUGGAAUCUUGAACCAGUCAAUCAGCACUACUAGCGAGGAAACCUGCCUGAUGGACCUCGGCCAUCCCCUGUAGGAAGGUGACCUUGCCACGACUGUUCACUUCUUGCUGAUAUGAAUUCCUUGUUCUGCUCCCUUCUGCCUAUAAAAGCCUUUCAUUUUGUACAGCUCCUCAGAGCUCCUUUCUAUCUGCUAGAGGGGAUGCUGCUCAAUUCAUGAAUUGUUGAAUAAAGCCAAUAAGAUCUUUAAAAUGUACUCAGUUGAAUUUUAUUUGUUUGUUUGUUUAUUUAUUUAUCUAUUUUAGAAAGAUUAGCCCUGAGCUAACAUCCACCACCAAUCCUCCUCUUUUUGCUGAGGAAGAUUGGUCCUGAGCUAACACCUGUACCCAUCUUCCUCUGCUUUAUAUGUGGGAUGCCUGCCACAGCAUGGCUUGACAAGCAGCAUGCACCUGGGAUCCACCGAAGUGGAACAUGUGAACUUAACUGCUGUACCACUGGGCUGGCCCCUGAAUUUUAUUUUUUUUAAUUUUUUUAUCUUAUUUAUUUUUUUUAAGAUUAAAAAAAAAUUUUUUUCUUUCUCCCCAAAGCCUCCUGGUACAUAGCUGUGUAUUUUUAGUUGUGGGUCCUUCCAGCUGUGGCAUGUGGGAUGCUGCCUCAGCGUGGCUUGAUGAGUGGUGCCGUAUCUGUGCCCAGGAUCUGAACCCUCGAAACCCUGGGCCGCUGAAGCGGAGCCUGCAAACUUAACCACCCAGCCAUGGGGCCGGCCACUGAAUUUUAUUUUUUAAUAUAAGUCAAGAAGUAAUAUCUAAAAUUAGUGACUCAAGAGGCAGCAGUGUAUGUCUGUCAUUCAGCAUAUACCCAGUGGAAGAAA
This is a non-coding RNA of Equus caballus (horse), 1562 nucleotides long. The record is from RefSeq and is a predicted model, not a curated record. Lineage: Eukaryota; Metazoa; Chordata; Mammalia; Perissodactyla; Equidae.